RNAcentral lists this ribosomal RNA (926 nucleotides) under uncultured organism. RNAcentral describes it as "bacterial SSU rRNA". It matches the Rfam family "Bacterial small subunit ribosomal RNA", at positions 1 to 917 of the family's 1533-position model. The record is from RNAcentral.
UGGAUCCAGACUUUGAUUAUGGCUCAGGAUAAACGCUGGCUACAGGCUUAACACAUGCAAGUCGAGGGGAAACGAUAUUGGAAGCUUGCUUCCGAUAGGCGUCGACCGGCGCACGGGUGAGUAACGCGUAUCCAACCUGCCCACCACUUGGGGGUAACCUUGCGAAAGUAAGACUAAUACCCAAUGACGUCUCUAGAAGACAUCUGAAAGAGAUUAAAGAUUUAUCGGUGAUGGAUGGGGAUGCGUCUGAUUAGCUUGUUGGCGGGGUAACGGCCCACCAAGGCUACGAUCAGUAGGGGUUCUGAGAGGAAGGUCCCCCACAUUGGAACUGAGACACGGUCCAAACUCCUACGGGAGGCAGCAGUGAGGAAUAUUGGUCAAUGGACGAGAGUCUGAACCAGCCAAGUAGCGUGCAGGAUGACGGCCCUAUGGGUUGUAAACUGCUUUUAUAAGGGAAUAAAGUGAGUCUCGUGAGACUUUUUGCAUGUACCUUAUGAAUAAGGACCGGCUAAUUCCGUGCCAGCAGCCGCGGUAAUACGGAAGGUCCGGGCGUUAUCCGGAUUUAUUGGGUUUAAAGGGAGCGUAGGCCGGAGAUUAAGCGUGUUGUGAAAUGUAGAUGCUCAACAUCUGCACUGCAGCGCGAACUGGUUUCCUUGAGUACGCACAAAGUGGGCGGAAUUCGUGGUGUAGCGGUGAAAUGCUUAGAUAUCACGAAGAACUCCGAUUGCGAAGGCAGCUCACUGGAGCGCAACUGACGCUGAAGCUCGAAAGUGCGGGUAUCGAACAGGAUUAGAUACCCUGGUAGUCCGCACGGUAAACGAUGGAUGCCCGCUGUUGGUCUGAAUAGGUCAGCGGCCAAGCGAAAGCAUUAAGCAUCCCACCUGGGGAGUACGCCGGCAACGGUGCAACUCAAAGGAAUUGACGGA